This 465-nucleotide ribosomal RNA is filed under the name uncultured bacterium. RNAcentral describes it as "partial 16S ribosomal RNA". It matches the Rfam family "Bacterial small subunit ribosomal RNA", at positions 28 to 507 of the family's 1533-position model. The record is from RNAcentral.
GAUGAACGCUGGCGGCGUGCUUAACACAUGCAAGUCGAACGGAAAGGCCCAAGCUUGCUUGGGUACUCGAGUGGCGAACGGGUGAGUAACACGUGGGUGAUCUGCCCUUCACUUCGGGAUAAGCCUGGGAAACUGGGUCUAAUACCGGAUAGGACCUCAUUUUGGAUGGUGUGGUGGAAAGUUUUUCGGUGUGGGAUGAGCUCGUGGCCUAUCAGCUUGUUGGUGGGGUAAUGGCCUACCAAGGCGUCGACGGGUAGCCGGCCUGAGAGGGUGUACGGCCACAUUGGGACUGAGAUACGGACCAGACUCCUACGGGAGGCAGCAGUGGGGAAUAUUGCACAAUGGGCGCAAGCCUGAUGCAGCGACGCCGCGUGCGGGAUGACGGCCUUCGGGUUGUAAACACCUUUCGCUAGGGACGAAGCGCAAGUGACGGUACCUGGAGAAGAAGCACCGGCUAACUACGUG